CCUACGGGGAGCAGCAGUGAGGAAUAUUGGUCAAUGGACGCAAGUCUGAACCAGCCAUGCCGCGUGCAGGAAGACGGCUCUAUGAGUUGUAAACUGCUUUUGUACGAGGGUAAACGCAGAUACGCGUAUCUGUCUGAAAGUAUCGUACGAAUAAGGAUCGGCUAACUCCGUGCCAGCAGCCGCGGUAAUACGGAGGAUUCAAGCGUUAUCCGGAUUUAUUGGGUUUAAAGGGUGCGUAGGCGGUCGGAUAAGUUAGAGGUGAAAUCCCGAGGCUCAACGUCGGAAUUGCCUCUGAUACUGUUAGGCUAGAGAGUAGUUGCGGUAGGCGGAAUGUAUGGUGUAGCGGUGAAAUGCUUAGAGAUCAUACAGAACACCGAUUGCGAAGGCAGCUUACCAAGCUACGUCUGACGUUGAGGCACGAAAGCGUGGGGAGCAAACAGGAUUAGAUACCCUUGUAGUC
This 460-nucleotide ribosomal RNA is filed under the name uncultured bacterium. RNAcentral describes it as "partial 16S ribosomal RNA". It matches the Rfam family "Bacterial small subunit ribosomal RNA", at positions 338 to 795 of the family's 1533-position model. The record is from RNAcentral.